AAUUGCAUAAAAGCAUUAGGUGCCCAUUGCGGGAGAAUAGGGAAUAAAGUGAAAAACUUUAGCGGUCCCACCACUGUAAAAGGGAGUUUCAUAGAGAAUGCCACUAGCAUCGUUCUGGGAAGGUUCUAUGAAAUGUUGAAAUUGAGCCAGGAGACCUGCCUAACUGCUUCGGUUAUA
Molecule: non-coding RNA, 177 nt
Filed under: Lysinibacillus xylanilyticus
Lineage: Bacteria; Bacillati; Bacillota; Bacilli; Caryophanales; Bacillaceae
Source: RNAcentral